UUUUUCCUACGGGAGGCAGCAGUGGGGGAUAUUGGACAAUGGGGGAAACCCUGAUCCAGCGAUGCCGCGUGAGGGAAGAAGGUUUUCGGAUUGUAAACCUCUGUGGAGGGGGACGAUAAUGACGGUACCCCUUUAGGAAGCCACGGCUAACUACGUGCCAGCAGCCGCGGUAAUACGUAGGUGGCGAGCGUUGUCCGGAAUUACUGGGUGUAAAGGGAGCGUAGACGGCUGUGCAAGUCUGAAGUGAAAUGCCGGGGCCCAACCCCGGAACUGCUUUGGAAACUGUACAGCUAGAGUGCAGGAGG
This 305-nucleotide ribosomal RNA is filed under the name uncultured bacterium. RNAcentral describes it as "bacterial SSU rRNA". It matches the Rfam family "Bacterial small subunit ribosomal RNA", at positions 333 to 655 of the family's 1533-position model. The record is from RNAcentral.